Molecule: ribosomal RNA, 391 nt
Filed under: uncultured bacterium
Lineage: Bacteria
Description: bacterial SSU rRNA
Rfam family: Bacterial small subunit ribosomal RNA
Source: RNAcentral
GACGAACGCUGGCGGCGCGCUUAACACAUGCAAGUCGAGCGGUAAGGCCCUUUCGGGGGUACACGAGCGGCGAACGGGUGAGUAACACGUGGGUGACCUGCCCUCAGCUCUGGGAUAAGCCUGGGAAACCGGGUCUAAUACCGGAUAUGACUCCAUGACGCAUGUUGUGGGGUGGAAAGCCUUGUGCGGCUGAGGAUGGGCCCGCGGCCUAUCAGCUUGUUGGUGGGGUGAUGGCCUACCAAGGCGACGACGGGUAGCCGGCCUGAGAGGGCGACCGGCCACACUGGGACUGAGACACGGCCCAGACUCCUACGGGAGGCAGCAGUGGGGAAUCUUGCGCAAUGGGCGAAAGCCUGACGCAGCGACGCCGCGUGAGGGAUGACGGCCUCGG